GACGAACGCUGGCGGCGUGCUUAACACAUGCAAGUCGAACGGAAAGGCCCUGCUUGCCGGGUACUCGAGUGGCGAACGGGUGAGUAACACGUGGGUGAUCUGCCCUGCACUUCGGGAUAAGCCUGGGAAACUGGGUCUAAUACCGGAUAGGAGCCAUUUUUAUUGUGAUGGUUGGAAAGUUUUUUCGGUGUAGGAUGAGCUCGCGGCCUAUCAGCUUGUUGGUGGGGUAAUGGCCUACCAAGGCGGCGACGGGUAGCCGGCCUGAGAGGGUGGACGGCCACAUUGGGACUGAGAUACGGCCCAGACUCCGACGGGAGGCAGCAGUGGGGAAUAUUGCACAAUGGGCGCAAGCCUGAUGCAGCGACGCCGCGUGGGGGAUGACGGCCUUCGGGUUGUAAACUCCUUUCGCUAGGGACGAAGCUUUUUGUGACGGUACCUAGAUAAGAAGCACCGGCUAACUACGUG
RNAcentral lists this ribosomal RNA (465 nucleotides) under uncultured bacterium. RNAcentral's name for it is "partial 16S ribosomal RNA". It matches the Rfam family "Bacterial small subunit ribosomal RNA", at positions 28 to 507 of the family's 1533-position model. The record is from RNAcentral.